Eleginops maclovinus (Patagonian blennie) is the source of this 2223-nucleotide long non-coding RNA. RefSeq lists it as uncharacterized. The transcript is spliced from 6 exons. The record is from RefSeq and is a predicted model, not a curated record. NCBI's taxonomy places the organism in Eukaryota, Metazoa, Chordata, Actinopteri, Perciformes, Eleginopidae.
UUUGGAGUGACAGCCCCCCUUGGAGAAAACUCCACCAGCUGCCACUGCUCGAGACGAUGGCAAUUUGAAGUUUACGUGCCAGCCGCCAGCAAGCAACCAAACUUCAGUCGGGCUUGAACAAUUUCGCUUUUGGUCGAAGUGAUCCACGAUGCUGUUGCGAGUUGUCCUCUCUGAAAUGGAUAUCAGGCGCCUCCCAUCGAAAACACCCCUCGCCGAGAGUUGAGGAACUGUGCCAGGUGUUGCGUGCAAACGUUGGCCUGAGAGGUGGAUUUAUUUUACAAUUUGAAGACCCUGCGUUCAAGGAUCAGCUGACCAACCUGACCGACAUCCGAGACCUUCCUGGGGAGCGAGCAACAUUGAAAGUGUUGUUCACAGCUGAUGCUGCUCUCUCGGAUUCCACAUUGGAUACAGCCACUCUUACAUCUCUCGGUAGUGGGGAAUCUGACGCCCAGCAAUGGCCUGAGCCCUUCCCGAUUCCAGAGUUUUCACAUGAUGUUGAACACACGCUGCAAGAAGCAAAUGGAAGAUAUGCAAAAGAUGGAUCUGUGAUGGUGAUUCCUAAAGGUAUGAAAACUGAUAUCCUGGACACACUUGCAGACAGCAUGUCAAAGAUUAGUCCUUAUCCUGAGAGGCAUCACUACGAGAAUGUUGCAAAAGCGCUCGUGGAGAAGCAUCCCAGUCUCAAAGAAACAGGGUCUGGAAAGGGUUGGUACGGCUGGUUCCACAGCUUGAAGUUUAAGCUCGGAAACUAGCGGCAGAAGUUAAGUGCAGCUGGAUGCCCAGAGGUGAGAGUCAACAAAAGGAAAGGAGAAUAUGCCAAGGGACCACGUGUGAAGAAGUCAAAGAAGGGCAAGGUCCACUACUGUCCAGAUCCCCCUGAAGGACUGAGUGCUGAAGACACGGAAGAAAAGCGGAGGAUGAUUGAGGUGGAAAAGCUGAAAAAAGACCUGGAUCACCAGCAGAUAGAGCAGCUGAUGUCUGCCACGUUCUCCAAGCGGAGAAAGGAGAUCGUAGGGGAUCAACCUCUCAUCAGGGAUGUCAUGAGCAGAUGGCCGGCCAUGUGAGAGACAGGUUCGUGCAGAGUUCAAAAGAAUCGUAAGCACAGACGUUCUCGAGUCGUUCCUCGACGGACUUGAUGACCUGGUACCAGGACUGCUAGAAAUGUACAAACCUGCGAGUCCGGAAGAAGCCUGCACUGAAAGCCAUUUUGGAUUGUCUGAAGAAAGAUGACACAAAAGAAAGGAGAAGGACUGCUGCUCUGCUGGGUCUGCUACAUUACCUAUCCGAAGAGCCAUCAGAAAUCAUCAGGAUGCCCAUGGUGAGACUCUGGCUGCAGCCAUGAAGGGGAUGCAACUUGGCCUACUGAUAGGCUAUGAAAGUGACAACCAGGAUGCCUUUCCACGUCUUCAAUGUGGCAGUUGUGGUCGAGGAGACCGUUGUGCUACACAAUUUCAAGGAUGUCCCAUCCAGCUUCGCCAUGCUUCUGGGGAUCAUCUACUGCGUUAACCUUGAGUAUCCACGAGCCAUGAAGUAUUCCUUUGAGUUCUUUCAGAGGGUAGUGAUGAAGAUCAAACCAGAUCAAGCCUCUGCCAGAGUCCACGGUGUCCGAAACAAGCUCCUGAGGUAUAAUCUGUAAACCAUGCCCCCACCCGCGAAUGGGGUUGGAAUGCAUAUUUCAUUUGUUUCUGUUGACAUGUAUACCAAAGUUGAAGGCAAAAGCACUUAAGCAAACAGGAGAGGAAAAGCCCUGAUAUGUGUUAGACUUGAUACAUUUACUUUUGUUGGACUGAAUACAUUUAAAGCUGAAUAUUGUUCAAAUAAUGGGGUCGGGGUCAAAUUACACUUUAUGUAAUCAAGUUUCAGGUAUUUGAAAACCACCAGCUAAAGUCUGAAGUUUGAGUUUGUUUGUUUGAUGGUUUUUGGGCUGAAUCAGAUUCAGCACAGCUUUUGCAUCCAAAUGAGUAGAAUGACUUUGUUGAACUAGAAUUUUGAUAGAGACAAAUAAUACAUUUCAAAGUAUAAGUCUGCUGGAAUUGUGUGACAUUACUGUUAAUAGGUUUUUUACAUGUUUACAUCAAAAACCUGUUCAAUAUUUAAAUGUUUUGCUUUAACAGGAAUGCAUUUUCUAUUGGGUGAAUAUGAAUAGUGUUUAGUACAGUGUUUAUCUACAAAAGUAUUGAUACAAGUUUGAGGUUUGAUUGCUCCAAUGCUGGAGUGUGUAUG